AUGAGCCCCCAAUUCCUCCCGCUGGUUUUGGAGGCGAAACAGCCUCCAAAUCUUCCCGGUGUGCCUCACCCAUGUGCUGUGCACCACCUGGGUGCCCAGGACCCCGGUGCAGCCUUUGGGGCGCGAUACGGGGCAGCGCCGAGACCCCCCCUGGGAACAAAACACCACCAUUGGGGCCGAUCCGGCCGCUCAUCGCUGCCGGGCGGGAUCGUUAGCUGGUGUGCUAACGAAGCAGUUUCCAUGGAAACAGGCCCGGUUUCGGCUCAGGCGCCUUGCAGUUUAUUUAUUUAUUUCAUUCGCUGGCGCGCCUCCGAGCCGCGGGCUGCUUUUCAGCAGAUUGGGCGCCGCGGGAGGCGUCGGCAGGAAAACCCGCGUUGGAGAAGGGGAAUAAAUCCCGGGUGGGAUGGGGGGCUGUGGCCACAGGUGCUGGUGAGGGGUGUGAGAGGAGCUCAGGGGCUCCGAGCUGGCUCGUUAUCCCCGUGCCGAAGGAAACGAGGGGCCACGAGCACUUUGGGCAUGCCGGGGCUCCUUUCCCAGCCCCGUCUGCUGCUCAGCUCAGCGAGGCUGCCCCGGCUUCCGCCCCCUGGAAACAUGCUCUUUGCUAUUUUCUUUCCGUCUGUAGUAUUUUUAUUUUUUUUUUUGGCUUUAUCUGUAUAUUUAGUCGUUAUUUUUCAAGCGAGCGGCCUAUCUUUAGAGACGGCUCUUAGCACAAGCACCGGGAUGGCUUCAAAACGCAUCCGCUCCCCCUGGGUGGUGCCGAUGGGCUCCGUUAUUCCCCUCUGUGGGGUUUGGGGUGGGAUGUGCAGGCGAUGCCUGCCCAGCAGGAACCACUCCGAGCCCUUUUCCCCCAAAUCCUGGCUGUCCCCAGUGGGGUUUGCCCGCUGUGCAGCUCCCCGGGCGGACGUUUUUUCAGGUACACCCCCAGGCUGGGAGGCUCCUGCUCGCACAUCGGAAACGUGCUGGGUGGGGGACGCCAGGGCUGCCGAGCUGCUUUUGGUCCUCGAGGCGGAGGAAGCACGAGGGUUCGCUCGAGCAGAUGUCAGAGCUUUCGGUUUCCUUCCCGCAGAGCCACCCAGCCCGGCUGCUGCUUUUCCUUUCGGUUCUCCAGGAGCGGUAGCGGGGGAGAGCGAUUUUCUUCAAAGCAGGCAAAAAGCACCCGGGACUUGGAAGAAAAAAAUAAAUCCAGGGAAUGGGAGGGUCAGAGAGGAUGUGAUCCGUGGGUUUUAA
Molecule: long non-coding RNA, 1227 nt
Filed under: Anser cygnoides (Swan goose)
Lineage: Eukaryota; Metazoa; Chordata; Aves; Anseriformes; Anatidae
Description: lncRNA (ENSACDG00005000500.1)
Source: RNAcentral